AACGAACGCUGGCGGCAGGCUUAACACAUGCAAGUCGAACGGGUGCAGCAAUGCAUCAGUGGCAGACGGGUGAGUAACACGUGGGAACCUUCCUAGGGGUACGGAACAACUCAGGGAAACUUGAGCUAAUACCGUAUGUGUCCGAGAGGAGAAAGAUUUAUCGCCCUUAGACGGGCCCGCGUCGGAUUAGCUAGUUGGUGGGGUAACGGCCUACCAAGGCGACGAUCCGUGGCUGAUCUUAGAGGAUGAUCAGCCACACUGGGACUGAGACAUGGCCCAGACUCCUACGGGAGGCAGCAGUGGGGAAUCUUGGACAAUGGGCGCAAGCCUGAUCCAGCCAUGCCGCGUGAGUGAAGAAGGUCUUCGGAUUGUAAAGCUCUUUUGCCAGGGACGAUAAUGACGGUACCUGGAGAAUAAGCCCCGGCAAACUUCGUGCCAGCCGCCGCUGUAA
RNAcentral lists this ribosomal RNA (451 nucleotides) under uncultured bacterium. RNAcentral describes it as "partial 16S ribosomal RNA". It matches the Rfam family "Bacterial small subunit ribosomal RNA", at positions 29 to 523 of the family's 1533-position model. The record is from RNAcentral.